This 508-nucleotide ribosomal RNA is filed under the name uncultured bacterium. RNAcentral's name for it is "bacterial SSU rRNA". It matches the Rfam family "Bacterial small subunit ribosomal RNA", at positions 791 to 1319 of the family's 1533-position model. The record is from RNAcentral.
UAGUCCACGCCGUAAACGAUGGAUGCUAGCCGUUGGGCAGUUUACUGUUCAGUGGCGCAGCUAACGCAUUAAGCAUCCCGCCUGGGGAGUACGGUCGCAAGAUUAAAACUCAAAGAAAUUGACGGGGGCCCGCACAAGCGGUGGAGCAUGUGGUUUAAUUCGAAGCAACGCGCAGAACCUUACCUACCCUUGACAUGCCGGUCGCGAUUUCCAGAGAUGGAUUUCUUCAAUUCGGUUGGACCGUGCACAGGUGCUGCAUGGCCGUCGUCAGCUCGUGUCGUGAGAUGUUGGGUUAAGUCCCGCAACGAGCGCAACCCUCACUUUUAGUUGCCAGCAUUUAGUUGGGCACUCUAGAAGAACUGCCGGUGCUAAGCCGGAGGAAGGUGGGGAUGACGUCAGGUCCUCAUGGCCCUUACGGGUAGGGCUACACACGUGCUACAAUGGCGCUGACAGAGGGUUAAUCCCUAAAAGGCGUCUCAGUUCGGAUUGUCCUCUGCAACUCGAGGGC